This 444-nucleotide ribosomal RNA is filed under the name Acallocrates colonnellii. RNAcentral's name for it is "eukaryotic LSU rRNA". It matches the Rfam family "Eukaryotic large subunit ribosomal RNA", at positions 1340 to 1663 of the family's 3401-position model. The record is from RNAcentral. Lineage: Eukaryota; Metazoa; Arthropoda; Insecta; Coleoptera; Curculionidae.
GCUUAUACUCGACCGUCAGCGGCACGAGCGCUCGAACUUCCCGUUCGGGCGUACCAAGCUCUGACGAGUAGGAGGGUCGCGGCGGUGAGCGCAGAAGGGCUGGCCGCGAGGCCGUCUGGAGCCGCCGUCGGUGCAGAUCUUGGUGGUAGUAGCAAAUACUCCAGCGAGGCCCUGGAGGACUGACGUGGAGAAGGGUUUCGUGUGAACAGCCGUUGCACACGAGUCAGUCGAUCCUAAGCCCUAGGCGAAAGCCGAUGUCGAUGCGGUGUACGUGUAUAAUAUAAUAUAGACGAUAAUAAUAGAGUAGCGGGCGAUAAUAAAAUAUCGCUCGCGAAAAAUAUUAUCGACGAUAUAUAUGUAUAUAAAAACGAACACACUCGUCGGGCGAAAGGGAAUCCGGUUCCUAUUCCGGAACCUGGCAGCGGAACCGUUAAUAAGUCGGGC